This 245-nucleotide ribosomal RNA is filed under the name uncultured bacterium. RNAcentral's name for it is "partial small subunit ribosomal RNA". It matches the Rfam family "Bacterial small subunit ribosomal RNA", at positions 26 to 285 of the family's 1533-position model. The record is from RNAcentral.
AGAAUCAACGCUGGCGGCGUGCCUAACACAUGCAAGUCGAACGAGAAAGUGGAGCAAUCCAUGAGUAAAGUGGCGCACGGGUGAGUAACACGUGACUAACCUACCCUGGAGUGGGGGAUAACUGAGGGAAACCUUAGCUAAUACCGCAUAAUACCUACGGGUCAAAGGAGCAAUUCGCUUCAGGAGGGGGUCGCGGCCGAUUAGUUAGUUGGCGGGGUAAUGGCCCACCAAGACGAUGAUCGGUA